UAAGAGUCCCAUAUAAGCCCCGCUCU
Molecule: non-coding RNA, 26 nt
Filed under: Mus musculus (house mouse)
Lineage: Eukaryota; Metazoa; Chordata; Mammalia; Rodentia; Muridae
Source: RNAcentral